UACAAUAUGUACCCACAGACGC
This 22-nucleotide non-coding RNA is filed under the name Arabidopsis thaliana (thale cress). The record is from RNAcentral. Lineage: Eukaryota; Viridiplantae; Streptophyta; Magnoliopsida; Brassicales; Brassicaceae.